This 254-nucleotide ribosomal RNA is filed under the name uncultured bacterium. Its description in RNAcentral is "partial 16S ribosomal RNA". It matches the Rfam family "Bacterial small subunit ribosomal RNA", at positions 524 to 776 of the family's 1533-position model. The record is from RNAcentral. RNAcentral also lists the same sequence under 1 other name.
GACGAACCGUGCGAACGUUAUUCGGAAUCACUGGGCUUAAAGCGCGUGUAGGCGGGACGGCACGUCGGUCGCUGAAAUCCCCCGGCUCAACCGGGGAACGGGCGCCGAUACGACCGUCCUGGAGGGACGUAGGGGGACCUGGAACUUCCGGUGGAGCGGUGAAAUGCGUUGAGAUCGGAAGGAACGCCCGUGGCGAAAGCGAGGUCCUGGACGUUUUCUGACGCUGAGACGCGAAAGCCAGGGGAGCGAACGGG